Molecule: ribosomal RNA, 382 nt
Filed under: uncultured soil bacterium
Lineage: Bacteria
Description: bacterial SSU rRNA
Rfam family: Bacterial small subunit ribosomal RNA
Source: RNAcentral
AGAUUGAACGCUGGCGGCAGGCCUAACACAUGCAAGUCGAGCGGUAGAGAGGUGCUUGCAUCUCUUGAGAGCGGCGGACGGGUGAGUAAUGCCUAGGAAUCUGCCUAGUGGUGGGGGAUAACGUUCGGAAACGGACGCUAAUACCGCAUACGUCCUACGGGAGAAAGCGGGGGACCUUCGGGCCUCGCGCCAUUAGAUGAGCCUAGGUCGGAUUAGCUAGUUGGUGAGGUAAUGGCUCACCAAGGCGACGAUCCGUAACUGGUCUGAGAGGAUGAUCAGUCACACUGGAACUGAGACACGGUCCAGACUCCUACGGGAGGCAGCAGUGGGGAAUAUUGGACAAUGGGCGAAAGCCUGAUCCAGCCAUGCCGCGUGUGUGAAG